Molecule: long non-coding RNA, 544 nt
Organism: Thalassophryne amazonica
Lineage: Eukaryota; Metazoa; Chordata; Actinopteri; Batrachoidiformes; Batrachoididae
Exons: 3
Source: RefSeq, a predicted model, not a curated record
AAGUGGGACUAAUCAUUGCCAGUGGCGUUUUUGCAUUAGGGGCCCUUGGGGCACGGCCCCACCAGAUGUCGCUGUUGUGCAAAGGAGAAUUAUGCUCAUCACAAUUAUGUUGUUCAGCGAAACUUCAAGUUAACAAACUGAACUUUGUUUGCUAAAUAAAAUGUUGAAGAUUUCAUUUGCAGAGUGUAUUUCUUCUCUAGACUUGUCUGUAAUCUUGUUCUGUGUGGAUUUGUCUCUGCUGCUCACCUGUUUCUGCUCGGUGGGGCCCAGCAAGAGAAGGCCGUGCCUGCAGCGCUCUGGACUGGACACACUGCUGCAUGUGCAUGCGCGAGGGCCCCAGACGCUUUCCUAUUGGUUGAUUUGGUGUGAGGGUGGGUACUGGGCAUCGCUACCUUGUCAAUUAACUAGUUUGCUAUUUAGAAAAACAAUGAACCGCGUAGAUUAUUUCACGACUGUGCGAUUUGGUACUCUUCCGAUCGAACAUAAAUUAGAGAUUAAAUGUCUGGGACCCCACAGACCAGAGGAUUUCACCCUUUGUCAAGAA